AACUUACUAACUGGAUUUCUUUUAGUCACGCCCCAGAACUCCGUUUUAGGCCUUCCACAUAUGAAAAUCAUCAGGCUGAGUUGUUUAAGCUGCGCCAAACCUCCACAGUUGCGGAAUAUCAAAAGCGGUUUGAGAAAAUUUGCAACAGAGUGAUGGGUUUACAACCCAAGAUGAUCCUUUAUUGUUUCUUAUCUAGCCUAAUCCCAAAAAUUCGAAGAGAAAUAGCAGUUUUGCAACCCACUUCCAUCACCCAGGCCAUGGGCCUAGCCAAGCUUUUAGAAUCUAAAAUCCAAGAUUCUAAAUGAUCUUUUCGUUUUUCCGAUACCUUACCCCCAACCAUCCAAUCAUUUAUUACCCUCACCUCGUCCCUCUCCCUCUCCCGCUACAACAUCCCAUGCAACCCCUUCCAUACCUAUCAAAAAACUCACCUCAACCCAACUCCAAGUGUGUAGAGCCGCUGGUUUGUGUUAUAACUGUGAUGAAUUUUUUUUUCCAGGGCAUAAGUGCACCACCCAUCGUUUUCUUCUUUUACUAAGUGACGAUUGUCCUGAAGAAAACAUUAUGGAAGACUAUCCUACCACAUUCAACGACCAACCCACAGACACACCUACACACAUUCACCUCUUCUUCCAAGCCUUGUGUGGAGCUCCCUCAACCCACACUUUUACCUUUGAUGGCUACAUUGGCCAUAUUCCUGUUACCAUUCUCAUAGAUACAGGAAGUUCCAUAACAUUAUUCAACCUCGUUUGGCCCUUCACCUCCAACUUUGCACUGUUCCUAUCACCCAUUUCUCAGUUAUGGUUGGAAAUGGCAACAAAAUUCAGUGUUCCUCUUUUUGCCCUAAUGCUCCCAUUUCUAUACAUACCUACACCUUUUCCAUUUUUUUUUACCUCUUACCUAUCGAAGGAGCUGAUGUUGUCUUAGGAAUGGACUGGUUGCAUUCUUUGGGCCCCUUAAUGGCUGAUUUUUCUAAGCUGCAACUAUCUUUUACCCACAAUGGGUUACCCAUUACACUACACGAUACCACAAAUCUGCUACACAGUCAAGCUUCCUUCACUCAUCUUUGCCAUAUGUUACACAUAGAUGUCAUUUAUUCUCUACAUCUCCUCACUAUUGACCCACUGCCAUCACCAUCCAGCCCUCACAGAUAAUCCAAACCCUCAGCUAUAUCCCAUCUUUUACAAACAUAUAGUUCAGUUUUCUCUUCUCCCCAUGGACUACCUCCGCACAGACCCCACAAUCACCACAUCCCCCUUAUUCCACACUCUCCCCUAGUUAACAUUCAACCCUACCGCUACCCACAUGCUCACAAGCACACCAUGACCUCCCUCAUUCUCGAAAUGCUCAACGAAGGCAUUAUCCGCCCCAGCACAAGCCCCUUUUCUUCCCCAGUUAUCCUCAUAAAAAAGAAAGAUGGCACCUGGCGUUUUUGUGCAAAUUAUAAAGGCCUAAACGCCACUACUGUUAAAGACCGUUUUUCUAUUCCAACUAUUGAUGAAUUGUUGGAUGAAGUGACCACUGCCAAGGUUUUCACCAAACUUGACUUACGUUCAGGUUACCACCAGAUUCGAGUUAAUCCUACAAAUUGCCACAAAACUGCUUUUAGAACCUUUGAUUGCCAUUACGAGUUCUUAAUUAUGCCUUUCGGCCUUGCUAAUGCACCAUCUACCUUUCAGGCAGCCAUGAAUGAUUUACUCAAGCCCCAUCUACAACACUUUGUCCUAGUUUUUUUUUAUGACAUUCUCAUUUACAGCAAAUCCGUGAAAGAACACAUUCACCACCUCACUUUGAUCCUUCAAUUAUUAGACACUCAUAAAUUCUUUGUUAAUGAAUCAAAAUGUGUGUUUGCCACAACCAGAGUCUCAUACCUAGGCCAUCUUUUGGAAGAAGGCACAGUGGCUCCAGAUCCGGAUAAAAUCAAGGCUAUCAUACUUUGGCCUAAACCUACAUCCCUUACUACUCUACAUGCGUUUCUGGGUAUUACGGGAUUUUAUCGGAAGUUCAUUCGCGAUUAUGCCACUCUUGCCUCGCCACUCACGGAGUUACUCAAAUCAUCAAUGUUUACAUGGAAUACAAAUGCAGAGGAAGCCUUUACAAAAUUGAAAAAUAUCCUAACUACAGCUCCGGUGUUGAGUCUUCAGAAUUUUGCCAUACCGUUCGUGGUAGAAACCGACGCCUCCAGCAUAGCAAUUGGAGUUGUGUUAUCCCAAGAAGGUCACCCCAUUGCUUUCUUCGGCAAGAAACUUUGCCCAAAAAUGCAAGCUAGCUCGACAUAUGUCAAGGAAAUGCUAGCUAUAACAAAAGCUGUCAAAAAGUGGCGUCAUUAUCUCAUAGGUACACAUUUCACAGUAAUAACAGACCAACAAAGCUUAAAGGGGUUACUCACCAAUGCAUGCCACACACAGAACAACAAAAGGGGGCUACCAAGCUGCUUGGAUACAGUUUUGACAUCCAAUACCGCCCAAAGCCGCCAAUAUCAAGUUGUUGAUUUCUUGUCCUGGCCACCCCAAUCCCUCCUUUUGGCCAUAUCUUCUCCGAUUUCGAACAUGUUCAAGGAAUUACAAGAUUAUUACAAGACAAAAAGGGGAGAAGAAGAGGUUCACAGAUUAAUUUCAUUACCUGACACCAAUUACAGUUUUCACCACGACCUUCUAUACCAUGCUCAAAGAUUAUACGUUCCUUCCAUAUAGCACAUUCGUUCGGCCAUACUCCACAAGUUCCAUGCUUCUCCCACAGCCGGCCACUCGGGCAUUAAGGCCACCAUGGCCAGGCUCGCAACCUCCUUUUUCUGGCCUUGUAUGUACCGCGACACCAAAAGGUAUAUCAAGGAAUGCCUACCCCGCCAACAAAACAAAUCAUUACAUCAUAAACCUUUUGAACUACUCCAAUCCAUACCCAUACCAACCAAACUGUGGGAAGAACUAACUA
RNAcentral lists this long non-coding RNA (2928 nucleotides) under Phaseolus vulgaris (common bean). RNAcentral's name for it is "long non-coding RNA (PVUL_LNC001801)". The record is from RNAcentral. Lineage: Eukaryota; Viridiplantae; Streptophyta; Magnoliopsida; Fabales; Fabaceae.